CAGGAACUAACAAAUAUGAAAACUCAGGCAUAAAAAGGGAGUUUCAAUUCAAUACAUGUGAUGUAUAAACAUACAUAUAAAGGAAAACUUACUUCCUCUGGAUUGUGAAUUCGAGAAAUGAAAUGGCAAGGUGGAAGAGGAUGGAGCGCGAAGAAGCUGCAUUUUAGUGCAUACAAUACAACUGUGUGUUUUUUUCACGUUCUUAGUGCAUGUGUGUGUGGAAGGAAGGAAAGAGGUGAGGUUUUCUGAACAAAUAUUUUGAGCCUCAUGUCCAAUAUCUCAUUUCAGAAUGGGUUAAACACACAUUUGGUCCUUAUAAAAUCAAUUUGUUCUAUAUUAG
Molecule: long non-coding RNA, 340 nt
Filed under: Olea europaea subsp. europaea
Lineage: Eukaryota; Viridiplantae; Streptophyta; Magnoliopsida; Lamiales; Oleaceae
Source: RNAcentral